RNAcentral lists this unclassified non-coding RNA (455 nucleotides) under Hevea brasiliensis (rubber tree). The record is from RNAcentral. Lineage: Eukaryota; Viridiplantae; Streptophyta; Magnoliopsida; Malpighiales; Euphorbiaceae.
UCCCCAUUCAUGAUACAACACUUACUAUAUCCUUCAAAUGUCCAUAGCUUGGCCCUGUACCAAAUGCAACCCAUGGCAUGUCACAAGGGGUGCAACAUAGCCAAGUUAAAGCAAAAGAAAUUGCAGAUGGAAAAAAAAAAAAAAGGAAGAGGGACAAUUUUCUCUUAUUCUGAAAUCUGAGAAAAACAUGCGCGCACUUGUGUGUAGACUCUAGAGUUCUUCUAGUCAGAAUAUCCAACCACUAAUUGCAGCUCUUAAAACCACAAUCUCGAUAUUACCAGCAUUAUCAAUUUGAGUACCAGGAAUGGUAUAUCAGUGAUCUUGCAGAGCCUUUCUUGUUAAUGAUACACUCAGUUAUAUAGUCUAACUGCCAUUUUUUAAGAGGCACCACAAGCUGCACUUAUGCUACUUAAGGUUUCUUCGCGUUUGAUGUCGAACACCUUGACAAGGACAUC